Molecule: transfer RNA, 71 nt
Filed under: Camelus bactrianus (Bactrian camel)
Lineage: Eukaryota; Metazoa; Chordata; Mammalia; Artiodactyla; Camelidae
Also listed under: 2 other names
Rfam family: tRNA
About the family: Transfer RNA (tRNA) molecules are approximately 80 nucleotides in length.
Source: Rfam by way of RNAcentral
GAGGUUAUAGCUCAGUGGCAGAGCGCCUGCUUAGUAUGCAUGAGGUCCUGAGUUCAAUCCCCGGUACCUCA